Cygnus olor (mute swan) is the source of this 1430-nucleotide long non-coding RNA. RefSeq lists it as uncharacterized. The transcript is spliced from 3 exons. The record is from RefSeq and is a predicted model, not a curated record. NCBI's taxonomy places the organism in Eukaryota, Metazoa, Chordata, Aves, Anseriformes, Anatidae.
AUUUGUAGGGUAGAAAGUUAUUGCUGUUAUAUGGUAGUAAUACGUCCUCGCUAGGAUGCAGAGCCUCUGUCCUUGCAGGUUUUCAUGACUCAGCCAGAAAAGACCCAGCUGACCUGGUCUCGUGCUGGCCGUAGUCCUGCUCCACACCGGAGGCUGGAUAAGGACCUCCAGAGGUCACUUCCAAUCAAGGAUUCUAUGAAUAACCCCGAAUCAUUCGGAGCAGAGAUUUACUGCAAUAAAAUCCCUUGCCUUUUUUAGUUGUAGCGAAGCAGUCCGCCCGCUCUUUCCUUUGUAGCUGCAGAUGGAGGCAGGUGUAGCAAACACAGUUCCUCAUAAUUCCCCAGGGAAAACCAAUUUUUUUUAUAGGUUUUUUCCUUGUCCCUUUUCCGUUAGUUACUUCCCAGCCUCUCUCCUUGUCCUUCCUGGGUAAGAGGCAGAGCUGGUGGUUUGUGUAGUACAAGUAGUUAAAUCAGCUGCGAUCUUGCAGUUGGGUUUUUCAACGUGUUCUGACACCAAGUUUAUUUAAAUGGGAUUGAACGGGAAAGUUUUUCUGGGUAGUAAUUGGCAUUUGUUCUUUGAAAAAGUGCUGUCAUGUUCUGCAGCCUGUCUAGGUGUUAGACAUUCGGGAUUUCCAUUUUGUUUCCUAAAGGUGCAUUCCUCGCUCUCUCUCGACACUCAGGAUAAAAAGUAGUGCAAUUAAAACUCAGUGUGGCUGUGGGAGGUGUCCUGGUGACUGCAAUACCACGGACAGCAAAAGAAGGAAAUGACAGGGCACCUGAAUUUUUAGCAGUUCUUCUUUCUGAAUUUCAUGUUUGUUUUUUUUUUCCAUCUCUUUCACUAAAAUCAUCUUUUAUUACCAGGAAGUCAAAUUGCAUCAAUUGCUUUUUUUUUUUUUUUUUUUAAGCAUUAGGAGGCUGUAAGAUGCUUCUUGAGUACAGAUACCCCAUUUUCUUUUCCAAGCAAGGAUUAACUCCACCUAAUGCUUUCCUGAUAGUUGUCAGAGGUUUGUUGCAGUGGUUGAGACUCCCAGUGGUUGAGGCUUCAUGUGGACACUGAUAGAUUUGUUCUUCUGGCAAAGUUUUAUGUCAGUAGUUUACACCUGCUGCCUCUCAUCCUCUUCAUCAAAGGACAGGGAAAUUUCUCCCUUUUCUCUUUGCAGCAGCCCUUUCUAUGUUAGAGAUAUGUUGUCGUCAUCUCUUCGUAAGAUGCUGUCUGCAGUGUACCGAGCUCAAUUAGGUGAACUGAAAAUGGUAGAGCCCAUUCUUAUGCCAGAAUUGACUUCAGAACUGAUGCGAGCCUCUGUCAUCCUUAACAUCUGCAAAGCUCCAGAGUGAUUCCUCGGUAAUAAUCUGCUGUGCUGCUCUCUAGACCUGCGUUGGAAAGAUACGGGGAUGCCCCCAGUUCUUCCUGUCAAGUUUCUAACUCAUCGC